UACGGGGGGGGCAAGCGUUGUUCGGAAUUACUGGGCGUAAAGGGCUUGUAGGCGGCCAACUAAGUCAGACGUGAAAUCCCUCGGCUUAACCGGGGAACUGCGUCUGAUACUGGAUGGCUUGAGUUCGGGAGAGGGAUGCGGAAUUCCCGGUGUAGCGGUGAAAUGCGCAGAUAUCGGGAGGAACACCGGUGGCGAAGGCGGUUCUCUGGGCCUGACCUGACGCUGAGGAGCGAAAGCGUGGGGAGCAAACAGG
This 253-nucleotide ribosomal RNA is filed under the name uncultured bacterium. RNAcentral describes it as "partial 16S ribosomal RNA". It matches the Rfam family "Bacterial small subunit ribosomal RNA", at positions 524 to 776 of the family's 1533-position model. The record is from RNAcentral.